UAUCCUUGUCCUGGUCGAACGCUGAAGUCGAGCGCCUAUUCAGCCUAGUCAAUUUAAUCAAAAAUAGGCUAAGAAACAGAAUGAGUUGCACUGUGCUGAGCUCAAUGUUAGCAAUAAGAUAUGGAUUACGCCGACAUGGCAAAUGUUGCUAUGAAUAUAGCCUUCCAAUCAACUACCUUAAAAAGGCGAAUUAUAAAGGCGACAAUGGUGAAAAUGACGAGUUGGUGGUCAUAGAUGAUAUAUUAACAGAAUUAAAUUAAUAACGUUGACUUUUUAUGAAAAA
This is a long non-coding RNA of Drosophila navojoa, 283 nucleotides long. The record is from RefSeq and is a predicted model, not a curated record. NCBI's taxonomy places the organism in Eukaryota, Metazoa, Arthropoda, Insecta, Diptera, Drosophilidae.